Non-coding RNA from Nylanderia fulva, 1093 nucleotides. Lineage: Eukaryota; Metazoa; Arthropoda; Insecta; Hymenoptera; Formicidae. The record is from RefSeq and is a predicted model, not a curated record.
GUAAUAACUUUAGUGUUUUUAUUACUAUAUUGAUUGUUUCAGUGUUUUUAUUUUUAUAUACUUAUUUUAUUUUUUCUCUUUCCUGGUAGAAAUUGCCUUGCCGGUGUCACGACAUUUGUUAGCACCAUGCAAGUUUGCCACACUACAGCCUUAUCCAAAAGAAUUGGAAAGAUACAUAUCAGGGCCAUCCUUGCGCCUGAUAUAUAAAUGGCGUGGCAUUCAUUAUAAAGUUAAACGGGCGCAAGUCUGGAUUUGACCAGACUUCUAAUGCGGCCCAUAUUUGCGCCACGUCAAAUGCUGAAGAGAUUUUUAUUUAUUUUCACAUUUAAUGUAUAUCUUUUGUCAUACAUAUAUCUCUUGUUUUUUGGAUCCUUUCCUUUGCCUAGAUUUUUUGCAUGCAUCAUUAGCUCAUUCGGGGUAAAAUUGCACGCAUUAAUUGGGAUAAAAACACUAAACGAUUGAAAGUUCCAUUUCUUCCACCUUCAUAUACAAAAGAAGGGAUAAAUAAUCUCCAUGAUUUGGUUAAAAACGAAAUGGAAGCACCAGAGUCAUGGCCACUGUUCAGUGUUGACAUUGUUGGUCAAGCAAAAACAUAUUCAGAAGCUGUUGAUCGCUUAAUGCUUCUUGGUCAAAAGGAGACUGCUUUUUCACAGGAUUCGGAAGAUGACGAACUAAAAAUUAAGAAAGCACAAGCAAUUUAUCAACAAAAAAGAUUUUAAAAAAGUGCGGAAGAAAUUAAAGAAAUUUUUAGUAGAACUCCUAUGUUUACAAAAAAAUCUUGUAAUCAGUCAGACUAACGUAAACCUGUCAAGUCAUCCAAGUCAUCGGUGAAGGAAAAUUUAACAAAAAAGAGUUUUACGACACAUGUACUAAUACCAAAGAUGAAGUACAAAUAUUUUCGUAGUAAUACUAUUGUAAGCGAGUUAAGUAAGGCCAUAUUUUUUUUAUUUCAUCGAUGGAUUAAGCGCAUGAUGCGCAAAUGCUACACGUGCAGAUUUGCACAUAAUGCGCUUGAUCCAUCGAUGAAUUAAAAAACAUGGCCUAAAGCUCACGAACUACGAGUCAUUUUACUGUACAAUUAUAGUUUAGUUAA